CCCGGGAGGAGAAGCCCUGAGCCCGGCACCCCAGGGUGGAGAGGAGAUGGGGGUCCCCAGGGAGACCCCGGCCUGGAUGGUCCCCCGGGGCCAGUGGGACCCCCAGGUCCCCCCGCUCACCCGACCUCGUGCCAGAAAGGGCAGCAGGGAGCACAGGGCAAGAAGGGGAACCGUGGCAGCCCCGGCCCCGGGGGACAGAAGGGCUACGGAGGCACCCAG
Molecule: long non-coding RNA, 219 nt
Organism: Aptenodytes forsteri (emperor penguin)
Lineage: Eukaryota; Metazoa; Chordata; Aves; Sphenisciformes; Spheniscidae
Exons: 4
Source: RefSeq, a predicted model, not a curated record